AUUUCACCCUUUGACAUCACCAUGCACUGCCAUUAAUAUGCGCCCCGUUCACACGAUUCCUCUGUAGUUCAGUCGGUAGAACGGCGGACUGUUAAUCCGUAUGUCACUGGUUCGAGUCCAGUCAGAGGAGCCAAAUUCAAAAAAGCCUGCUUUCUAG
This 157-nucleotide transfer RNA is filed under the name Escherichia coli. Its description in RNAcentral is "partial tRNA-Asn". The stretch from base 58 to 130 matches the Rfam family "tRNA". Lineage: Bacteria; Pseudomonadati; Pseudomonadota; Gammaproteobacteria; Enterobacterales; Enterobacteriaceae. The record is from RNAcentral.